GCCUAGCCCAGUGCAGGGCUCACAGCUCAGCACGGAGCCUCCACAUUCCUGGUGGGACCGAUGCUGUGCAGCAUCCUCAGAAACCGUCCCUCCCUCGCCGUGACACCUCUCGCCCUCCCAGAUCCUGAAAUCAGGAGGCUGCUUUUUCUGGAACCACAGAGCUCUUCUGCCUUCGGGGCUGAAAGGAGACACCUGCUAGCAGAGAGAGGUACCAACCGGUAGACAUCAACAAUCCCAGGGACAUGUGAACCGACAGUGUCGGGGGGCGCUGGCAGACGGGAAGCUGGUGGGACUGUCACUUGAAUGUCUGGGUGACCCAAGCAAGUCAUCCCCCUCCUCUAGGUCGCUGUCUUUCCUCAGGUCUCUUCUGGGCAUCUUCAGAGCAGCCAGGACCCCCACCCCCACCCCACCUGAGCUAGGCUGGCAGAGUGGGGCGAGGUGAGGAUAGGCUGGCAGAGUGGGGUGAGUGAGGAGGAGAGCAGUCAUUCACAUUCAUCUAAAUCCCCUUUCAUUCAAGAAACACCAACUGCCCCUAAAACGGGUAUUUGUGGCAAAGACUGCUCAUCACCCACCCAAUACCCACUCUCCCUUUCUUUCUAACAGAAUACAGAUAUUUUCUCAGAUGGGAAUGUGCCCAUCUAAAAAACCCUAUUUCUCAGCCUGCCUUGAAGCUAAGAAUGGCCAGUAAGAUGUAAGCAGAAGUCACUGCAGGGUGUUUCUGGGAAAGCUCCUUAAAGACAGCAGACUCAGCCGACAGGCCUGCCUUUUAAAGGUUCCUGCUGUCUUCCUUCCUGGAAUGUCUCAUGAUGGCUGAGCCCCAUCAGCCUUUUGGUGACCUUGAGGCAAAAUGUCAAAAGGCAGGGUUCCCAACCUUUGCUGCACACUGGAAUCACGUAGGGACUUUUUUUUUUAAUGCAGAUGACUGGUUUCCACCCCCUAGACAUUCUGAUUUAAUGGGUAUGUUGUGCAACCUGGGCUUUUUUUUUUUGAGAUGGAGUUUCACUCUCGUUGCUCAGGCUGGAGUGCAGUGGCGUGAUCUCGGCUCACUACAACCUCGGCCUCCCUGAUUCAAGCGAUUCUCCUGCCUCAGCCUCCCGAGUAGCUGGGAUUACAGGUGUCCGCCACCACACCUGGCUAAUUUUUUUAUUUUUAGUAGAGACGGGGUUUCACCAUGUUGCCCAGGCUGGUCUCAAACUCCUGACCUCAGGAGAUCCACCCGCCUUGGCCUCCCAAAGUGUUGGGAUUACAGGUGUGAGUCACUGAGCCUAGCCAGCAUCAGGACUUUUUAAACCUUCCAGGUUAUUCUAACAUGCAGCCAAGUUUGAGAACCACCACCAUGAGAAGAGCAGAGCACGAAGAUGAAAGGAGCCUUGAGAACCUACCUUGAGACUUGAGAAAGUCAUCAUUUGUUUAAGCCUUUCUGGUCAGGUCUUUCUUUCUAGCAAACAGGCCUGGGGGGUCCUUAUGCUGCUCCCUUGGGCCAACCCAUCUGCCACAGCACAGGCUGGGGAACAAAAAUCUGCCAGGGAAUGCCUUCAGAAACCUCACAUUUGGGGAAGUAGACAGGCACUGGACUUUGCAUUGGGCAGUCUUGAGUUCGAACCCUGACUCCACCACCGCCUAACUGUAGGGCCCUGGGCAAGUC
Molecule: long non-coding RNA, 1645 nt
Filed under: Homo sapiens (human)
Lineage: Eukaryota; Metazoa; Chordata; Mammalia; Primates; Hominidae
Description: HSALNT0105709
Source: RNAcentral